AUGUGGAAGAAGGCGGUGAAUCGUGAGAGACGCUCGGCGGAGCUUGCGUACAGGCUGCAGGCGUCUCCGCCGCCUGCCGAGGCGGAGGGCCCCCAGCAGGCGGACGUGGAGCGGAGGACGGCGCGGUUCGAGGAGAUGCUGCGGGUGCCGCGGGAGGAGCGCGACCGCGUGCAGCGCACCCAGGUCAUCGACCGCGCCGCCGCCGCUCUCGCCGCCGCGCGCGCUGUACUCAAGGAACCGCCGCAGUCCUCGCCAACGCCGCAGCCGCAGAAGGUGGCGGCGGCCACCAGAGUGACAGGGUCGGGCGACGUUUUUGGUUCGCGCAAGGCUGCAAAGGGGCCUGAGGAUCAGGGCUCCGGGCAGGGGAGCGUACCGGCGGCGUCGCAGUCGGCAAAAGUGACAAACUCUGGGGAUUCAUAUCCUUCCAAGCUUGGUACUCCUGGUCCGGAUUUCUGGUCGUGGUUACCACCCGUAGACACCAGCAGUGAACCGAGAGAAAACAAUAUUGUUUUGAAACCAUCAAAGAAAGUGGAUUCCUUCUCCAGUCAGCCUGAGAUGUUAAUGGAAAAGGAACGGUCAGCAGACUUCUUAUCCCUUCCGUUCGUGACCUCCUUCUUUGAGAAGAAGGAAGAUCGAUCUCUCCCUCCCUUCCAGUCAUUUGCAGAGCCUGAGAAUGUAGAUUCCGGGGCCAUGCCUGUUGUUGAUGCAGAGGAAGCAUUUGAAACGCAGUUCUCAAAUAAUGCAGCUGAGGCGGCUAGAGCUCUCAGUACAAGUGAUGAUAAGUCGUCCCAUGGGAUAGACCCAGAUGGUUCAAAGUGGUGGAAGGAGACCGGUGUAGAACAGAGGCCUGAUGGUGUUGUUUGUAAGUGGACUGUAAUCAGGGGAGUAAGUCCUGAUGGUUCUGUUGAAUUCGAAGACAAGUACUGGGAGGCUUCAGACCGGUUUGAUCAUAAAGAAUUAGGUUCCGAGAAGUCCGGUCGUGAUGCUAGGGGCAAUGUUUGGCGGGAAUACUGGAAGGAGUCCAUGUGGCAGGAUUUCACAUCUGGUCUUAUGCAUAUGGAGAAGAGCGCAGACAAGUGGGGAAAGAAUGGCAAAGGGGAGCAGUGGCAAGAGAAAUGGUGGGAGCAGUAUGAUUCAAGCGGUAAAGCUGAAAAAUCGGCUGAUAAAUGGUGCAGCUUGGAUCCAAACACUACGUUGGAUGUUGGGCAUGCUCAUGUUUGGCAUGAAAGGUGGGGUGAGACGUAUGAUGGCAGCGGAGGCAGCGUGAAAUACACGGACAAAUGGGCCGAGCGGUCAGAGGGCGACGGGUGGUCGAAAUGGGGUGACAAGUGGGAUGAGCAUUUCGACCGUAACGGCCACGGCGUGAAGCAGGGGGAGACCUGGUGGGAAGGCAAAUACGGGGACCGGUGGAACCGCACCUGGGGCGAGGGCCACAACGGCUCCGGUUGGGUGCACAAGUACGGGAGGAGCAGUAGCGGUGAGCACUGGGACACUCACGAGCAGCAGAAGACGUGGUACCAGCGCUACCCGCAUUUCGGCUUCCACCACUGCUUCGAGAACUCGGUGAAACUAUUGUCCGUGCCCAGGCAGCCUCCAAAGAAUAUCAAGCCUGGGAAAAGAGUAGAUGCUCCUUAA
RNAcentral lists this ribosomal RNA (1635 nucleotides) under Triticum aestivum (bread wheat). RNAcentral's name for it is "partial small subunit ribosomal RNA". Lineage: Eukaryota; Viridiplantae; Streptophyta; Magnoliopsida; Poales; Poaceae. The record is from RNAcentral.